UUCCUGUUCACUGAGGCAUACUAAAAUUGGAAUGAUAUGGAGAAGAUUAGCAUAGUCCCUGAGCAAGGAUGACAUGAAAAUUUAUGAAGCAUUUUACAUUUAA
This 103-nucleotide small nuclear RNA is filed under the name Carlito syrichta (Philippine tarsier). The record is from RNAcentral. Lineage: Eukaryota; Metazoa; Chordata; Mammalia; Primates; Tarsiidae.